RNAcentral lists this long non-coding RNA (1620 nucleotides) under Salmo salar (Atlantic salmon). RNAcentral's name for it is "lncRNA (ENSSSAG00000089476.1, ENSSSAG00000109571.1)". The stretch from base 604 to 657 matches the Rfam family "UnaL2 LINE 3' element". Lineage: Eukaryota; Metazoa; Chordata; Actinopteri; Salmoniformes; Salmonidae. The record is from RNAcentral.
GAGAGGAGAGGAAAUCAAACUUAUAGAGACUUCUUGUCUGGAUUUGUGUGUGUGUGUGUGUGUGUGUGUGUGUGUGUGUGUGUGUGUGUGUGUGUGUGUGUGUGUGUGUUGGUUUUUGACAGAGACUGCUGAUGAGAGAUUUAGAGUGGGAGUCCAGAUUCAGCUCAGAGAUGGGGGGCUUGAGGCAUAAUCUAGCCCGUGUGUGUGUGUGUGUCUCACACUGGUGUGAUGUGCUGGCCGGCGGUGUGACGUGUUUGAAGGCUUCCAGACUGUGUUGGGAGACGCCGCAGAGAUGAGAACAUCAAACGAACUGACGCUACCAUGGCAACACAGACAGACAGACAGACGGAUGGAGGAACAGUCAGACAGACAGACGCAGGCAGACAGACAGACAGACGGAUGGAGGAACAGUCAGACAGACAGACACGCAGGCAGACAGACAGACGGAUGGAGGAACAGUCAGACAGACAGACAGACGGAGGAACAGUCAGACAUGCUCAGACAUGCUCAGUUGGUAGAGCAUGGUGUUUGCAAUGCCAGGGUUGUGGGUUCGAUUCCCACGGGGGGCCAGUACGAAAAAAAUUAAAAAAUGUAUGAAAUGUAUGCAUUCACUACUGUAAGUCGCUCUGGAUAAGAGCGUCUGCUAAAUGACUAAAAUGUAAAUGUAAAAAAUGAGGAACAGUUUUGAGUUCAAUUUAUCUCUAUGUUGACCUCUAUUGACCUUUAUGUUGACCUCUAUUGACCUUUAUGUUUGAGUCAAAUACACAAAAGACCCAGUAAGUUAGUCAGCAACUGAUAAAAUCUUUAUCCAGGCAAAGAGUUGAAACAGAGGGUUUUGUUGCAGUGAACUGAAGACACAGGGAUAUGUUUACAUUAGGAUGUGGGAUUGAUUAUCGUGUUCUAUAAAUGUUUUAUAUGUUUCUGACCAAGGCUACAGAGAUGGUCCUGCACCAUAUACAUGGCUACAUCACGCAGAACACCACAAUGCUGUAACACUCUAUACCGCAGUGUGAUUUAGGCUUUGUAGCAGCAUGAUUGUUGGAUAAGGGUUAGGAUUGUCUUUGAUGUCCAUGACAGAAGCAGUUUAAAUAAGUAAAACAGCACAAAGCACAUUUUAUAUAAUACAUACAUAAUAUUUCUACCUGCGUUAUUCAGACCUGGCCUUGGAUAAAGUAACCAUACCAUCCCAUCUUUUUACAAUUUUACGGUUCUUUUCAUCAUUUGAUCACUGCGUGUGUUUAAGUGUUUGAGGAAAAUGGCAGACAAAGCGUGUUUAAUCGUUUGAGGAAAAUGGCAGACGUAGUGUUCUGAUUUAGUAUCUGUAUGCUAUUCAAUAUUAAAUGUCAAUGAGUUGUUGUUUGUUGUAAACUGUGUGUUUUGAAGAGGCAUGCUGGUUUGGUGGAGACAGGAGAGAGUGUGUUUUAUGUCAAUAACAGUGUGUUUUUGUAAUGAGGCUUUAAGUGCUGUUCUGUAGGAGUAAAAUAACCAAACACACAUGCUUUUAAACCUUCAUGACUGACUGACUGACUGAUUAUUUCAGUUUGUUACCCACACAGGUGCCCAGCCCAUAAUAUAAUUAGUAUUGACAGAAUGUCCUCAUUGGCUGAUAUGUACUGCGUC